RNAcentral lists this ribosomal RNA (465 nucleotides) under uncultured bacterium. Its description in RNAcentral is "partial 16S ribosomal RNA". It matches the Rfam family "Bacterial small subunit ribosomal RNA", at positions 28 to 504 of the family's 1533-position model. The record is from RNAcentral.
GACGAACGCUGGCGGCGUGCUUAACACAUGCGAGUCGAACGGAAAGGCCCUGCUUUUGUGGGGUGCUCGAGUGGCGAACGGGUGAGUAACACGUGAGUAACCUGCCCUUGACUUUGGGAUAACUUCAGGAAACUGGGGCUAAUACCGGAUAGGAGCUCCAGCUGCAUGGUGGGGGUUGGAAAGUUUCGGCGGUUGGGGAUGGACUCGCGGCUUAUCAGCUUGUUGGUGGGGUAGUGGCUUACCAAGGCUUUGACGGGUAGCCGGCCUGAGAGGGUGACCGGCCACAUUGGGACUGAGAUACGGCCCAGACUCCUACGGGAGGCAGCAGUGGGGAAUAUUGCACAAUGGGCGGAAGCCUGAGGCAGCGACGCCGCGUGCGGGAUGACGGCCUUCGGGUUGUAAACCGCUUUCGCCUGUGACGAAGCGUGAGUGACGGUAAUGGGUAAAGAAGCACCGGCUAACUAC